GUAGGUGGCAAGCGUUGUCCGGAAUUAUUGGGCGUAAAGCGCGCGCAGGCGGUUCUUUAAGUCUGAUGUGAAAGCCCACGGCUCAACCGUGGAGGGUCAUUGGAAACUGGAGAACUUGAGUACAGAAGAGGAAAGCGUAAUUCCACGUGUAGCGGUGAAAUGCGUAGAGAUGUGGAGGAACACCAGUGGCGAAGGCGGCUUUCUGGUCUGUAACUGACGCUGAGGCGCGAAAGCGUGGGGAGCAAACAGGAUUAGAUACCCUGGUAGUCCACGCCGUAAACGAUGAGUGCUAAGUGUUAGGGGGGUUUCCGCCCCCCUUAGUGCUGCAGCUAACGCAUUAAGCACUCCGCCUGGGAGUACGGCCGCAAGGCUG
This 373-nucleotide ribosomal RNA is filed under the name uncultured organism. Its description in RNAcentral is "partial 16S ribosomal RNA". It matches the Rfam family "Bacterial small subunit ribosomal RNA", at positions 527 to 896 of the family's 1533-position model. The record is from RNAcentral.